GAGUUUGAUCUUGGCUCAGAUUGAACGCUGGCGGCAGGCCUAACACAUGCAAGUCGAGCGGUAGAGAGAAGCUUGCUUCUCUUGAGAGCGGCGGACGGGUGAGUAAUGCCUAGGAAUCUGCCUGGUAGUGGGGGAUGACGCUCGGAAACGGACGCUAAUACCGCAUACGUCCUACGGGAGAAAGCGAGGGGACCUUCGGGCCUUGCGCUAUCAGAUGAGCCUAGGUCGGAUUAGCUAGUUGGUGAGGUAAUGGCUCACCAAGGCGACGAUCCGUAACUGGUCUGAGAGGAUGAUCAGUCACACUGGAACUGAGACACGGUCCAGACUCCUACGGGAGGCAGCAGUGGGGAAUAUUGGACAAUGGGCGAAAGCCUGAUCCAGCCAUGCCGCGUGUGUGAAGAAGGUCUUCGGAUUGUAAAGCACUUUAAGUUGGGAGGAAGGGCAGUAAAUUAAUACUUUGCUUGUUUGACGUUACCGACAGAAUAAGCACCGGCUAACUCUGU
This 503-nucleotide ribosomal RNA is filed under the name uncultured bacterium. RNAcentral's name for it is "bacterial SSU rRNA". It matches the Rfam family "Bacterial small subunit ribosomal RNA", at positions 9 to 506 of the family's 1533-position model. The record is from RNAcentral.